RNAcentral lists this ribosomal RNA (429 nucleotides) under Pseudomonadota bacterium. RNAcentral describes it as "Proteobacteria bacterium partial 16S ribosomal RNA". It matches the Rfam family "Bacterial small subunit ribosomal RNA", at positions 355 to 776 of the family's 1533-position model. Lineage: Bacteria; Pseudomonadati; Pseudomonadota. The record is from RNAcentral.
UGGGGAAUAUUGGACAAUGGGCGAAAGCCUGAUCCAGCCAUGCCGCGUGUGUGAAGAAGGUCUUCGGAUUGUAAAGCACUUUAAGUUGGGAGGAAGGGCAGUAAGCGAAUACCUUGCUGUUCUGACGUUACCGACAGAAUAAGCACCGGCUAACUCUGUGCCAGCAGCCGCGGUAAUACAGAGGGUGCAAGCGUUAAUCGGAAUUACUGGGCGUAAAGCGCGCGUAGGUGGUUCGUUAAGUUGAAUGUGAAAGCCCCGGGCUCAACCUGGGAACUGCAUCCAAAACUGGCGAGCUAGAGUAGGGCAGAGGGUGGUGGAAUUUCCUGUGUAGCGGUGAAAUGCGUAGAUAUAGGAAGGAACACCAGUGGCGAAGGCGGCCACCUGGGCUGAUACUGACACUGAGGUGCGAAAGCGUGGGGAGCAAACAGG